CCGCGAACGCUCAGAUCUAGAUAAGGUGUACCACGCACGCAGCCAAAUCCCUAAUUCCCCUUCUCCUUCUCCUUCGAUUCCCCACACCCGCCGCCGCCGGGCUCUCCACCGCGCCUCCGCGCUCCACCACGGCGUUGGCCUCUCCCUCGCGCCCCCGCGUCUCUACUUCACGCUGUCGACCUCUCCACCGCGCCGGCCACCUCUCCACCUACUCCAGAGGAGCGUUGCCCUGCGGAAUGGCGUGACGGCCGUGGCGGCGCACGUCCCGGAGGUGCUGCUGCUCGUGGUGUCCAAUCCCGUCGACGACCUCACCUACCUGGCCUGAAAGCUUUCAAGCUUCCCGGCGAGCAGCGUCGGCGGCUCCGGCACCAACCUCCACUCCUCCAGGUUCCGGUUCCUCGUCAACACCCAGGACGUGUAGGUAACUAACUGGAUCCUGAAUCCUGAUCAAGACUUGUGCCCUCACUCGAUAUUCUAGGAUGAUGCAUGGCUGGACAUAGAAAAUGGACUGCUUAAAAAUUAUGUGUGAUUAGUAACUAAAUGUAUAUAGAAAAUGGUUGGGACAACUCUGCUGGAAUAUAAAUGUAGGGCAUCAUUUACUUAUAGAACAAUUAUGUGGUAGUGUUGGUCUUGCUGUCAAUAUUUAUACAGGACAAAAGCAGAACUUCGAUCCAGUAAGUAAAACGCGUAAUUGCUAUAUGUGUACAAUUGGUUCCAUGCCGGAUCCAUGUAAAAGAACACCUAACAGAUCAAUUGAGAAAGUAUCAUUGUUUCCUCGCUUAUUUACUGAAACUGAAUCUCUUCCAGUGCAGUUAGGGCAACAAUUUAAUUCUGAUAAUCAUUUUCAGUUUGAGAAGUUUCUGUUUUUAAAUGCUUCUUUUAAAGGACCAUGUUCAAAUGACUAACCUGUGUUUUGUGCCCAGGCUAUUUAACUUGUUUCUUGAUUAAGGUGUUGAUGGGCUGUAACUAUUUGCCACUCUGAAAAUAUAACACUUUUGUGCCCAGGCUAUUUAACUUGUUUCUUGAUUAAGGUGUUGAUGGGCUGUAACUAUUUGCCACUCUGAAGAUAUAAAGUGUUAUUUCUUCAGGUAUCGUAUCACUGAGGUAAGACGAUGAGAAGAAUCCACACUGAUGUCAUUUUUUGCACAGUAAAAUUACUUUCUGGUACACAUAUCUCAUUAUUAGAUGUGGAGAUGUUUUCUAUUGAUACUUCCAUCUGACAAGACAAAAGAAAGCUAUGUAGCUUCCAUCACAUUUGUUUUCUCCGCCAAGAAGAAAAUGUAGCUCUGAGCACUAACCUAUCUAUGCAGGCACCCUCCCACGCACCUGCAAGCAUGAAUGAAGGACGUGUUUUGAGGUCUAGUGUAACACAAAAUCAUGAUCAUGUAGAUCACGCGCAUCAGCCUUCCAAAGUAAGCCAUCCUGCUGUGUCAAAACUGUAGUAUAU
RNAcentral lists this long non-coding RNA (1447 nucleotides) under Triticum aestivum (bread wheat). RNAcentral's name for it is "long non-coding RNA (TAES_LNC003338)". Lineage: Eukaryota; Viridiplantae; Streptophyta; Magnoliopsida; Poales; Poaceae. The record is from RNAcentral.